RNAcentral lists this non-coding RNA (28 nucleotides) under Rattus norvegicus (Norway rat). The record is from RNAcentral. Lineage: Eukaryota; Metazoa; Chordata; Mammalia; Rodentia; Muridae.
UGAGUUGGUGCUGUGAGUGCAUUGAUGU